RNAcentral lists this ribosomal RNA (488 nucleotides) under uncultured archaeon. RNAcentral describes it as "bacterial SSU rRNA". It matches the Rfam family "Archaeal small subunit ribosomal RNA", at positions 573 to 1060 of the family's 1478-position model. The record is from RNAcentral.
GCGUCGGGAUACUGUUGGGCUAGGGGACGGGAGGGGCCGAGCGUAUUCCCGGGGUAGGGGGGAAAUCCUAUAAUUCCGGGAGGACCGCCUGUGGCGAAGGCUGGCGGCUAGAACGAGCUCGACGGUGAGGGACGAAAGCUGGGGGAGCGAACCGGAUUAGAUACCCGGGUAGUCCCAGCCGUAAACGAUGCGGGCUAGGUGUUAGGGUGGCUACGAGCCACUCUAGUGCCGCAGCGAAGGCAUUAAGCCCGCCGCCUGGGGAGUACGGCCGCAAGGCUGAAACUUAAAGGAAUUGGCGGGAGAGCACCACAAGGCGUGAAGCGUGCGGUUUAAUUGGAGUCAACACCGGAAACCUUACCGGGGGCGACAGCAGGUUGAAGGCCAGAUUGACGAUCUUGCCAGACAAGCUGAGAGGAGGUGCAUGGCCGUCGCCAGUUCGUGCCGUGAGGUGUCCUCUUAAGUGAGGCAACGAUCGAGACCCGCGCCUC